Molecule: long non-coding RNA, 220 nt
Filed under: Elaeis guineensis (African oil palm)
Lineage: Eukaryota; Viridiplantae; Streptophyta; Magnoliopsida; Arecales; Arecaceae
Description: long non-coding RNA (EGUI_LNC022798)
Source: RNAcentral
CCUUGGACGUCCCCUCCUAUUGGCAUGCUCCCUUGGGCGUCUCCCUCCCUCUUGGUAUCCUCCCUCCUUUUGUGGUGUCAUAUGGAGCUCUUCCAAGACCUUAGGAUCUACUUACAAGGCUUCAUCUCCUUCCUCUUUGAAGAAAGAGUUCAUCUCUCUCUCCUACAGCAUUUGGUAUGCACGCGAAGUAGAGGAUCCGUGCAUCCGGAUCUCAUGAAGC